UUCCGUUGCUCUUGUUAGGUCGAAAAUUAGACUGAACUCAAA
Molecule: small RNA, 42 nt
Filed under: Arabidopsis thaliana (thale cress)
Lineage: Eukaryota; Viridiplantae; Streptophyta; Magnoliopsida; Brassicales; Brassicaceae
Source: RNAcentral